CAGAGCUGUUCCCCAAGGAGUGAUUUGAAGGUCAGCCUAGGGGAGGAAAAAGGGCCUCAGCCGUAAUUCCCAUUCAAGGAGUGUUUGCCACAGGGAAGUGCCUCCUGGUUUGGGGCAGUGAGACAAGGGUGCUGUCAUUCCUUGCCUGCUUUGCUCUGAACUGUAAAUGCCCUGGUACUCUCACAGGGAACCUCAGUUUUCAGAAAUGAGGUAGAAGCUCAGCAAAGACAGAUUCUUCCCAUGCUGCUCCUAAAUGUUCCUUGAAUGGGAAGAAUAUCAGCUAACAAAUGUUGAAGAAAUGAUGAAGCUUAAGAAAAAUAUUGUUGUGCAAUCCCCAAGCUUCGUUUAGAUGUGGUAAUUUGCAAAGCAGCUCCCAGCAGUUGACAGUUCAUCCAUAGCUGUGUGGCGUUCAGACGUUUCCUGGGAUUCCUGCCCACCUCCUAUGCAGUCGGCCGUGUUUGCCAAACCAGGAUAUGUGCUCAACUGGGAUUAACUUGGAACCACAGGCUGAGGCUGCUGCUGCUGCUGCCACCUUCUGGGAGAAGACAGACCUCAGCUAGUCUCAAUGUUCACCUGUGACUGAACAUUGGGACAGGACUGAAAUUUCUUUGUCCUAGAAAAUAAAAGAGAUAUCCUUUUACUCAGCAAACAAAACACUGGUAAGAAACAGCAAUAUCCCCUCAGGAGAAUGCAGCAACAAGGUGCCGCCUUGGAAGCAGAGUGACCAGACUCUUACCAGACACCGAACCUGCCAGGGCCUUGAUAUUGAACUUGCAGCCUCCCGAACUGUGAGAAAUAAAUUUCUGUUCUUAUAAAUUUCCCAAUAUUUUGUUAUAGCUGCACGAACAGACUAAAACAUCCUUAAUUAUUGUAACAACCAUGAAACCCCUUCCUAAUAAUUAAAAACACAUACUUUUUAUCUUCAGCCAACUGGUAUGUUCCUUUGCCUGAAAGUAAAUAAACUCAGCUGUGUUUGUUUUGCUUUUAA
This is a long non-coding RNA of Galeopterus variegatus (Sunda flying lemur), 988 nucleotides long. RefSeq lists it as uncharacterized. NCBI's taxonomy places the organism in Eukaryota, Metazoa, Chordata, Mammalia, Dermoptera, Cynocephalidae. The record is from RefSeq and is a predicted model, not a curated record. The transcript is spliced from 6 exons.